AAAUAAAGUCCCCCAUAGACAACAAAAAAAAAAAGGCCCCAUUUAUAAAUACACAUUGUUCUUAUCACAAAUACAGUGUCCAUAUUCAUUUUUUUUUUAAAUUAAGAAAGUAGCUUAUGCGGGGAAGAUUGACCUACUUAUUUAAACAGCAGAAUGGUGGAUCCUGUUGGCACCUUUUUAUUUAUUGCAUGAAACAGAAAAAAGUUAUGAUAAAAAUGACAGAAGAAAAAAAAAAC
Molecule: non-coding RNA, 236 nt
Organism: Biomphalaria pfeifferi
Lineage: Eukaryota; Metazoa; Mollusca; Gastropoda; Planorbidae
Source: the annotation of a GenBank genome assembly